RNAcentral lists this long non-coding RNA (477 nucleotides) under Phoenix dactylifera (date palm). RNAcentral describes it as "long non-coding RNA (PDAC_LNC006988)". Lineage: Eukaryota; Viridiplantae; Streptophyta; Magnoliopsida; Arecales; Arecaceae. The record is from RNAcentral.
UUUGAUUAGUUGAUUUAAGUUCUUUGUUCUUCAAUCAAAGUUUUCUACAAUCAUUCAUUAAUUCACUAAAAGCAUCAUAUAAUUCAUCAGAAGUAAAAGUUAAAGGGAUUUGAGAGGAUACUUCACUACCAUCUGUCAUUAAGCAGAUAUCUGCCUUUUCUUGGGGUUCUUCCUCUAAUGAAGACUUUUCAUUGUCGCUCCAUAUUGCGACAAAAGCCUUCUUCUUUUUUCUUGACAUUUUCUUCAAUUGGGGGCAAUCCGUUCUAACAUGUCCAGAUUUUUUGCACUCAUAGUAGAUUAUCGGUUCCUUUUUCUUUUCCUUUUCUGAUUCUUUGGCAGCAGGCUUAUUCUUCCUCACGAACUUCUUGAAUUUCCUUACAAGAAGAGCCACAUCAUCAUCUUCUUCUUCUUCUUCACUGUUGUCCUCAUAUUCUUUUUGAGCAGUGGCCUUCAAGGCGAUAACCUUCUUUCUUCGGG